Molecule: small nucleolar RNA, 91 nt
Filed under: Saccharomyces cerevisiae R103
Lineage: Eukaryota; Fungi; Ascomycota; Saccharomycetes; Saccharomycetales; Saccharomycetaceae
Description: SNR53
Source: RNAcentral
AGGAACUAUCAAAGAAUUAGGCUCUUCGUAUUGGAAUUAGUUGACAGUUGCUCAUGAAAUGAAUGGAUUAAAAAAAUAAAGCUGCGCAAGC